RNAcentral lists this transfer RNA (69 nucleotides) under Chthonerpeton indistinctum. RNAcentral describes it as "tRNA-Cys". The record is from RNAcentral. Lineage: Eukaryota; Metazoa; Chordata; Amphibia; Gymnophiona; Typhlonectidae.
AGUUCGGUAGUAUAUAAUACAUUAGAUUGCAAACCUAAAGAAGGCGGAGUGAGACCUCCCCCCGGACUU